RNAcentral lists this ribosomal RNA (468 nucleotides) under uncultured bacterium. RNAcentral describes it as "partial 16S ribosomal RNA". It matches the Rfam family "Bacterial small subunit ribosomal RNA", at positions 28 to 507 of the family's 1533-position model. The record is from RNAcentral.
GACGAACGCUGGCGGCGUGCUUAACACAUGCAAGUCGAACGGAAAGGCCCUGCUUUUGUGGGGUGCUCGAGUGGCGAACGGGUGAGUAACACGUGAGUAACCUCCCCUUACCUUUGGGGUAACUUCAGAAACCUGGGCCUAUUCCGGAAAAGGACUUCUUGCUCAUGGUUGGGGUUGGGAAGGUUUAGGCGGUUGGGGAUGGACUCGCGGCUUAUCAGCUUGUUGGUGGGGUAGUGGAUUACCAAGGCUUUGACGGGUAGCAGGCCUGCGCGGGUGACCGGCCAAAUUGGGACUGAGAUACGGCACAGACUCCUACGGGAGGCAGCAGUGGGGAAUAUUGCACAAUGGGCGGAAGCCUGAUGCAGCAAAGCCGCGUGCGGGAUGACGGCCUUCGGGUUGUAAACCGCUUUCGCCUGUGACGAAGCGUGAGUGACGGUAAUGGGUAAAGAAGCACCGGCUAACUACGUG